Molecule: long non-coding RNA, 674 nt
Filed under: Cyanistes caeruleus (blue tit)
Lineage: Eukaryota; Metazoa; Chordata; Aves; Passeriformes; Paridae
Description: lncRNA (ENSCCEG00000015698.1)
Source: RNAcentral
CCUAGAUUAAGACAAUUUCCUGGAGAAGAGAUGACACAAGAUGAUCCUGGAAGCAAAAUCUGAAGCCAGCAAGGAGUAGUGCAAUGAAAAGCAGUCGACCAAUGGUAGCUUCAGUCCUUGUGCUAGAGAAAAACCCUGAGACAAGACAGGCUUAACUUGGUUGAACCCAGCUCCUCUUGGACUGUGUGUCUGGUUCUCUGCCCCCCAUGCUGGACAUGAAGUGGUGUCAUGCUGUGAAAAAAAUUAUUUACCAGUGCCACUACAGGGAACUAGGAGGAACAUGAAGAUUUGAUUGUUUUGGUCAGAGUUAGCUGCUCCUGAAAUGUAUCUUUACAGCUGACUGUUACUGAGGAGGUGCCUGGGAAAUAAAAUGGGAAGAAAAGCACCCCACCUUACAGUGGCAUUUUGGUCAUCUGAGAAAGGUGGAGUCAGCUUGGGCCAGCAGAAAAAGCCAAGAAUAUUUAAGAGCAUGGGAAAAAAGAUUUCCAAGUUAUGAACUGAAAGUGAGUGACCAUGAAGUUGAGCAGAAUAACUGGAAGUCAAGAACACCUUUGCAUUGUGCUGUGAAUGCCAAAUGUGACAACUUCAACACAAGUGAACAUGGAAUCACCUGUCACUCAUUUCUUCCAAGGAAAUCCAAGAGACAACACAUGCCAAAUUCUCCUUCUGUGUAA